GACGAACGCUGGCGGCGCGCCUAACACAUGCAAGUCGAACGAAGAAGACAUUUCGGUGUUUUCUGAGUGGCGGACGGGUGAGUAACGCGUGAGGAACCUGGCCUUCAGAGGGGGAUAACGUCUGGAAACGGACGGUAAUACCGCAUAACGUAUCCGGGAGACAUCUUCUGGAUACCAAAGGAGAAAUCUGCUGAAGGAUGGACUCGCGUCCGAUUAGGUAGUUGGCGGGGCAAUGGCCCACCAAGCCCGCGAUCGGUAGCCGGAUUGAGAGAUUGGCCGGCCACAUUGGGACUGAGACACGGCCCAGACUCCUACGGGAGGCAGCAGUGGGGGAUAUUGCACAAUGGAGGGAACUCUGAUGCAGCGACGCCGCGUGAGGGAAGACGGCCUUCGGGUUGUAAACCUCUGUCUUUCGGGACGAAGAAAGUGACGGUACCGGAAGAGGAAGCCACGGCUAACUACGUG
Molecule: ribosomal RNA, 465 nt
Filed under: uncultured organism
Description: bacterial SSU rRNA
Rfam family: Bacterial small subunit ribosomal RNA
Source: RNAcentral